This is a long non-coding RNA of Varroa destructor (honeybee mite), 3687 nucleotides long. RefSeq lists it as uncharacterized. The record is from RefSeq and is a predicted model, not a curated record. NCBI's taxonomy places the organism in Eukaryota, Metazoa, Arthropoda, Arachnida, Mesostigmata, Varroidae.
AAUCUGUAAUUUUUCGAAUUUAAUUUUGUGCAGUUUUUGGCGCCCCCUUCUAAUUAUCCCCCGAGUAGUUUCGGUUUUCUGUUUACAUUUGUUAGAGACUUAGAGUUCAGAGUGCCCGGCUGCGAAGUAAAAAAUCGGUGGUUUGAAUUCUGCAAUAAAAUACACCUAUUACAUUAAACACACAAUAAGAAUAGUUUCGUAGUUAUGACGAUCAUCCCGGAAUGUUAAAAAGUGUGAGAUACUAUUUGUGAAAAGAUCUAGCGUGUUAAUGUUUUAAGCGUAUCUGUUAGAUUUCAUUUUUCGUCGAUGUCGCUUUCCUUCGGUGAGCUCGCGUCAAUUUUCCCAUGAAGACAACUCGACUUGUACCGUAGUAAAUUGAUGAACAUCUCGGUACUAACUGCUGCGAAAGGUGCAGCAGCUAUGCCGGACUCAGGUGAAUCCAAACGAAAGAGAAGAGUGGAAGAAAACAACGAUUUCAUUCAGCGAAAGCAAAAGUGUCCAGAAUGUCUGGAACCAACUGGGAGGUUGUUAAAACAGGCUAGAAAAGCUUGCGAAGAAUUCAGCGAAUCCACCAUCUUCUACCAAACUCGAGGACAAGGAUAGAGAAGGCCUUGAUAAAAGAACAUCAAAGAUAGAAGAAGAUGAAAUCAAACAGCUUCGAACGCUUACAACACUUGGCUACGAUCCGCGAUUCCUCCACGAGAAGCGCCAUCUUAUCUGUGAUUUCGUUUUAGAAUCUCUUAUGAAUGGGUAAUGCCUUGCACAUGUCUACACCUAUGCGUUUGAUUUCUAGUGCGCUUAACAUAAAGCUAUAUUAUUAUAUGUAAUACGUACUUUACCUUUAUUAACCAACAGCCGAGAUAUGUACAAGUCUGCUCCUGGAUGCCGUUGCAAGAUUGUCAGCGAAUUACAGAAUCAUUUUGUAAUGUACCUAUUAUAAAAUUAUAGAAAAAUACGCUAUAGCCACGUUUGCUCCUUGUAGUUUAAGUGAAGAUAGCGGUUGUUAACAGAAUAUGAUUCAAUAACAUGGGAAAAGUUCUGUGUUAAAGUCUCGAUAAAGUUUCACUGUUUCACCUAGAUUACCUAUGCAUUGAGACAUGCGUGCAUAUAGUAAAAAAUGAACGCGUAGAUAGCAGAAUUUCUCUCAUUUUUUUCUCGUUGGUUUUCUAGGUCUUCAUAACAUGAAAUCAAAGCGCACAGCCAAGGGCUCUUGUAGGAAGUGGUAAAUCGGUCUUUGUGCCUGAGCUUUAUAAGCAGAAAACAAAGAAAGCCAAAAACAAAUGGAGAUGAUCUUAAAAAUUGCAUCAGCUAAUUAUUUGUUCGCAUUUAGGGUGCGAGCAACGUAUCACGGACCUAGGCGCAGAUUAAAAUCGUGUUAAUGUGGGCAGCAAUUUUACACUAGCUACUCUGAAUACAAAUGAGAUCGAAACGAUUCUAGGGGUUAUAUAUGGAACGGUAGCACGUAGGACACUCGGUAAGGUAUUUUUUUUUUAUCAAGAAUGAAUGUUAUUAUAAAUAGUAGAAAAAGACGAAGAAACAUCUGAUGGAGGAAUUACUAUUUAUAGAGUAAAACUACGAAAAGGAGACGCAUUUUCGAUAUAUAAAAGACUGGUGGAUCAAUAAAGUCAUAAAGCCUUUCUCAAAGAUGGACGAUGGUCGAUCGGUUUUCCUGUCUUAAAAGCGUUUUGUUCAAAACACACUUCUAGCAAACUAACGCUGCUAGUGAUUACUUGAGAGUCUCACGCUGAGGUAUAUGUUUUUUAUACUGUGUCUGAUCUGCGAUUGGUUGGUACGUGUACAGAAAUAGGCAGGAGUUAUCUGGGGUAUCCUAUUUUUUCUGUCAACUCGACAAUUCUAGCGCACCUCUUAGCCAUUCGUUAGCUGCUGCAAUUUAGAGUUUGUGGUAGAUUGACACGUUAAUCUGAUUGCCACUGUCAUCAGCAAGUGAGAUUCUACUCAGAUCACUUCUUUAAGGCCGUGGAUGUACAUCUGGUAUCACUAUUUGGUAUUUGUACAGUAUGUACUGUUUAUUACUGCUGGUAUUACUAUAUGUACAAUAUAGAGUAGUUUCGGCACAGUGUCUUGGGCCGCAAGACCCAGGUCGACGACACCCACUAUUGUAAUAAUUGUCAUGAUUUACGUAUAAUAAUACUAACCGUAACACAGGCAGCGGCAAGAGCGUCACAUUAGACAGAGGAAAAUUAGCUGAUUGCGGCUGAGUUUCAAAGCUCAUGAAUCUUCAACGACAUGCGUAAUUUUAACGCAACACAAAAGAGUGCGACUCUCAAUAACAACUCACAACUUCUCAAAGUGACAUUCAAAACUACCUAGAAAAAAAGCCAAUAUUCUACAGCUAGGAAACUUUACCAAAGCCCCCCGAUACUGCCGAAGCAAAUAUCCCAAGGUAAGGCCCGAUAUCCGUAAACGACACCCACACAUUAAGAUGAAACAGGACUACAUAACGCUUGUCACAGUCAUUCACUGACGGAUUAUGACUAAUCAAUUGUUAAUUCGAAAUUCAAGUUCACGCGAAAAUCGUUGUCUGAUCUGAUAGUUAAGGAUGUCAUUUGGAGAAAAUAGUUGACACUUUCCAUAUUAUAGAAAGGGUAAAAAUUAAUGGAAGACUGGAAACAACUCGGUAGCAGGCAAGGGGUUCUAAAUCAAUGUAAAAAACUUGCCCUAUAUUUUUUCUAUACUUUAGCGAAACUAUUUUUCGAUCAUUACGCCUGUAGAUCAUUACGCCAUUAGAAUAAGCAAACGUAAAGCAAAAAGGUAAUACAAGUUAUACGGAAUAUUAUACCAAUAAGCAUAACGUUGAGGUAUAAUGACCUCCUGAACACGUAGCAACCUUUGCGUUCCAUAUAUUGUUUGGAAUCUUGUUAUCAUUUGAAUUGAUAGAUAAGUACUUCGGUGCGAAUUAAUUAAACUUGAAACAGAGGAAACUGGAACGAACGCGAACUUACCGUUUCCUCUGUUUAAAUGCAACCGCCUUCAAUAACCAAUGCGUUCAUCCGAAAAUGCACAUUAUCCAACGUUUAGCAUUAAAUGUAUCAUUAAUAUAACCGUAUGUAUCAUUAGUAUAAAUAUGACUAGAGCUUCACUAGUUGUGACAUUACCUUUUUUAAUUUUUUUAAGAAGGGGGAAGUGUUAUUCACAUUAGUGAACACCAUCCGGGAUGGAAAUAAGUUCGGCAAACUUAGUUUGAUUUUAAAAAAUCACCUCUUGUCAUCUCUCUCUAAACGUAUGCCAAUGAUUUGGAACCGCUGAAAUGUUAUGUUGAUGCAGUACAGACGUUGGCGACUAAGGGUUGGUUACUUCAGUCAACACGUGACCAACUUAAAAUGCUCAUGCAAGGUUAUCGAUUAGUAUUUGCAACGGCUUGAUUCUGCCAAAAAUCUACCGUUUGAUACGUUACGUACACAUUCGAGUAAUGAUCAAGGUGUCGUUGGAACGUGGGCAAAUAACACGAGGUUCGCUGUCUCCUUGUAAGCCUUAGAUAAAAAUAAGAACACUAUGACGUUUGAAAACACGUCUUUUCACAUAAUUUGAAUGCUUUUUUAUUUCUACGUCGUUAUAAAUUUUCAACGAUUCCACCAAUGUUAACCACAUCCAGAAUUGUAAGACUUGUCAUACGCUCAAGGGUAAUAGUUUGUGGAUCUCACUUUCGCUAUAGCUGUUCCUGCCGAA